RNAcentral lists this ribosomal RNA (681 nucleotides) under uncultured nitrite-oxidizing bacterium. Its description in RNAcentral is "bacterial SSU rRNA". It matches the Rfam family "Bacterial small subunit ribosomal RNA", at positions 21 to 696 of the family's 1533-position model. The record is from RNAcentral.
GGCUCAGAACGAACGCUGGCGGCGCGCCUAAUACAUGCAAGUCGAGCGAGAAGGUGUAGCAAUACACUUGUAAAGCGGCGAACGGGUGAGGAAUACAUGGGUAACCUACCCUCGAGUGGGGAAUAACUAGCCGAAAGGUUAGCUAAUACCGCAUACGGCUCCUGGUCUGCGGAUCGGGAGAGAAAGCGAUACCAUGGGUAUCGCGCUCUUGGAAGGGCUCAUGUCCUAUCAGCUUGUUGGUGAGGUAAUGGCUCACCAAGGCUUCGACGGGUAGCUGGUCUGAGAGGACGAUCAGCCACACUGGCACUGCGACACGGGCCAGACUCCUACGGGAGGCAGCAGUAAGGAAUAUUGCGCAAUGGGCGACAGCCUGACGCAGCGACGCCGCGUGGGGGAUGAGGGUCUUCGGAUUGUAAACCCCUUUCGGCAGGGAAGAUGGAACGGGUAACCGUUCGGACGGUACCUGCAGAAGCAGCCACGGCUAACUUCGUGCCAGCAGCCGCGGUAAUACGAAGGUGGCAAGCGUUGUUCGGAUUUACUGGGCGUACAGGGAGCGUAGGCGGUUAGGUAAGCCCUUCGUGAAAUCUCCGGGCCUAACCCGGAAAGGGCGGAGGGGACUGCUUGGCUAGAGGAUGGGAGAGGAGCGCGGAAUUCCCGGUGUAGCGGUGAAAUGCGUAGAGA